CAAUGAACAUAUUUUAAUUAAAUAUUUUAAAUUUUUUGUGAUUGCACAAUAAGUCUCCUGAACGGAGAAAUGUUGAAGACGUACUGUUUGAAGUUAAAGAAAAUGUAAAUGGGCCUCAACUAAAGAUACCAGGAGGUUGAAUACUACAACAACGAACAGGAGAAGAUGUGUACCUAUAUGAUGUACCAGAGCACUGGAAUGAUUACAAGCAGGCUGCCACAUAUAGCAUGCAGAGUUAAAUUACCCUUCAUAUUUGGGAGUGAGAUGCUAAACAUACCAAAUAGCAAUCAUUGCACUCUAACAAGAGUAUCCU
Molecule: long non-coding RNA, 313 nt
Organism: Ctenocephalides felis (cat flea)
Lineage: Eukaryota; Metazoa; Arthropoda; Insecta; Siphonaptera; Pulicidae
Exons: 3
Source: RefSeq, a predicted model, not a curated record